RNAcentral lists this microRNA (24 nucleotides) under Gossypium raimondii (Peruvian cotton). RNAcentral describes it as "gra-miR8762d". The record is from miRBase by way of RNAcentral. Lineage: Eukaryota; Viridiplantae; Streptophyta; Magnoliopsida; Malvales; Malvaceae.
UUGUUAACUUUGAUGAUGUGGCAU